AUAAGUCUGUAUGACUGGCGGAAAACUGAGAAAUCAGUGGCAGGAAAACUGCAGGGAGUACAGAGUGUUAAGAGCCGGCCGCCUGGGUGAGUACG
RNAcentral lists this non-coding RNA (95 nucleotides) under Roseburia sp. CAG:303. RNAcentral's name for it is "ZMP/ZTP riboswitch aptamer (pfl RNA motif)". It matches the Rfam family "ZMP/ZTP riboswitch aptamer (pfl RNA motif)". Rfam says of the family: Previously known as pfl RNA. ZMP is also known as AICAR. RNAcentral also lists the same sequence under 1 other name. The record is from Rfam by way of RNAcentral. Lineage: Bacteria; Bacillati; Bacillota; Clostridia; Lachnospirales; Lachnospiraceae.